This 1498-nucleotide long non-coding RNA is filed under the name Ananas comosus (pineapple). Its description in RNAcentral is "long non-coding RNA (ACOM_LNC001994)". The record is from RNAcentral. Lineage: Eukaryota; Viridiplantae; Streptophyta; Magnoliopsida; Poales; Bromeliaceae.
UCUAAGUCUCUUUAUAUUAUUAAGGGUAAACUUCAAAUGCCCCCUGUGAUUUCAUACAUUCUCACUUUAGUAUCCUAUAAUUUAAAGUGUACCAAGUUAGCUCCUGUGGUUUCGCAUUUUUUCACUUUAGUAUCCUAUGGUUUAAAGUGUACUAAGUUAUAUCCUGUGGUUUCAUUUUUCUCUUUUUAUUAUCAAUUUCACUAAUUUUUUUGAUUAAAUUAGUGACAAAGAAAAAAUUAAAGGGUAAAGUAAAUAUUCGAUAAACCUAGCUAGGGUAGCUGAAGUUUUUUGUAUAUAAUUUAACGAAAUAUAAACGGUCGAAAAAAAAUAGUAACACAGUUAAAACUAAAAGGUACUAAAGUAAAUAUUCGAUAAAUCUAGGUAGCAUAUUUAAAAUUUUUUGUAUAUAAUUUAAAGAAAUAUUAACAGAGGAACCAACGAAAAGUGAAAAACGAAACCACAGGAUAUUAAAUUGAUACACUGUAAACCAUAAGGUACUAAAGUGAAAAAACGUGAAAUUAUAGAAUAUUAAAUUGAUACACUUUAAAUUAAAAACUACUAAAAUAAAAAAAUACGAAACCAUAGAGGUGAUAUUUAAAGUCUUCUGUAUUAUUAAUGAGAACACACACAACAAGGAUAUAGACAUCCACCAUCUCCUGCUUCGCUACUAUGAUUCGCUAGCCAUGGUGCAUUGGAAGUGGUGACAACUAAUCUGACAAAGAUGUGCCAAGCCAGCUUUUUAAAAUGUCAAAGCUUUACAAUAAAUGUCAAAGCUUUACAAUACAUAUAUAAGAAUUUGGGGCAAUUCGUUCAAACUUAGUCCUCUAAAAUCUUAAAGAAAUUUAAGUCUCUUCAAAAUUCUAGCUCGAAUUCUAAUUGAUUGGGCUUGAUGGUUGGUAUCUGAGAUCCUAAAUUUGAAUUCUAAUUGAUUCAAAUUUGUAGCUAAGCAUAUUUCUAAAAGAAAUAAACGAAGCAGAUAUAAAAUAUCAACCAUAUAUUUCUAAACCUACAAAUCUAUUACAAAUACCCCUCUAAACUUUGAAAUCAAGUCUAAAUCCUAAAUCUUUUAAUGUUUGUAAGGACAACAUUGAUAUUUGGUACAAUUUGAGGAUAUUUAUCAAAGGGCAAGUUAUACUUCGCAUAAUAUUUUAGUCUUCAAACUUAAAUUCGUUGUAAUUUUUUGCUCAAAUUGUAAGGCAUGUGAUACUUUUGUCCUUAAAUUUUUUAAAUUAUUGUAAUCAAAUCUCACAAUCCAAAUUUUUUGAACGGGUAUUCAUAAAUUACUAAUAUCGAAAUGUUGUAGCAUCUCAAUCAUGUAUUGUGCAUGAUCAAGUAGGAUAUUUUUACAAUUCAGAAAGUUCAAAAAUUUUGAACAAUCAGAAAUUCAACUGAUUCUGAUUUUUCUAUACUGUUAACUAAAAAACAUUUUAUCCAGAAGUUAAAAAUAUCAGUUUCAAGGCCCUUUGAUCAUAAUAAAUAAAUAAAUAAAUAAAUAAAU